RNAcentral lists this ribosomal RNA (468 nucleotides) under uncultured bacterium. Its description in RNAcentral is "partial 16S ribosomal RNA". It matches the Rfam family "Bacterial small subunit ribosomal RNA", at positions 28 to 507 of the family's 1533-position model. The record is from RNAcentral.
GACGAACGCUGGCGGCGUGCUUAAUACAUGCAAGUCGAACGGAAAGGCCCUGCUUUUGCGGGUUGCACGAGUGGCGAAGGCGGGAGUAUCACGUGUGUAUACCCCCCUUAUCAGACGGGGAACUCCACGAAAAUGCGGCGAUAAUAGCAUAGAAUAUCUUGCACCGUGGGGGGGGAUGGAGAAAUUCGGCGGUUGUGGCUGGACUCGCGGCUUAUCAGCUUGUUUGUGGGGUAGUGGCUUACCAAGCCUAUGAAGGGUAGCCGGCCUGAGAGGGUGACCGGCCACAUUGGGACUGCGAUACGGCCCAGACUCCUACGGGCGGCAGCAGUGGGGAAUAUUGCAGAAUGGGCGGAAGCCUGAUGCAGCAACGCCGCGUGCGGGAUGACGGCUUUCGGGUUGUAAACCGCUUUCGCCUGUGCUGAAGCGUGAGUGACGGUAAUGGGUAAAGAAGCACCGGCUAACUACGUG